UACAUGAACGUUCUAACUCAACCGCAACGAAAGUCAAAUACGGAGUCAGCACAAGAAUAUAAACUAAAUACAAAGAACAGAAAACUACAAAAAAAUGAGCGAAAAAGCAGGUUGCUUCGAGAGGAUUGGUGGUACCUAGCAAGGGACGAUGUCUUGAGCUGGCGCAGGACUCUGCCCUUAGUUAGCUUUUUGGUUGAAAAAACAACCUGCCAUCCAACGCCAGUUCCCAUCCGCCAGCGCGCUACAGAGGACCAGUUUGUUACGCAGCUGCCGUGAGGAUGAGAGCAGAGAUGGCUCUCGAAACGUUGGCAGAGGAUAUGGUGUAUUCACCGUUCAGCCACCUGACGCGGCUCGUAGCCCGAGAGUUUUUCAUCAGCUCAAAGAUGCCUCGACAAUAAUGGUAGCCAUUUCGAGGCACAAAUGUUAGUAAAUUCAGAAUUUGGUAAUAUGUAAUCCAGAAAACUAAACUAUAAUGAAAUUACAAACAUUAAAAAUGCAAGAGUAUGAUAUUUCUGAUUUUCUUGACAAACCGUUGCUGGUCGUACCAUGUUAAUUAGAACUUUUCUACUCAAAAUGAUCCCAGGAUUACGUAGUUAUCUAUGGACACCCUGUUUUGGAACAGCCUAUAUACAAAUAUAGUUAAAAAAAUUAAAAAUAUGUAGAGAGAAUUUUUCAGAAUAUUGAUAGAAGGGGUAGAGUUAAAAGUGGUUUGCAUAGGUUUCCGUAAUAAAUUGCGGCCCCACAUUAAUUUUCAGCUUCAAUUUAGGAAAUUGAUUGUUCACGCCUUCUAAUUUGGGGAUAUAUUUCCAACAAUGCUUUUCUCUGAUUAUUUUACCAAUAAAUAUACUUACUUAAUCA
Molecule: non-coding RNA, 858 nt
Organism: Zootermopsis nevadensis
Lineage: Eukaryota; Metazoa; Arthropoda; Insecta; Blattodea; Termopsidae
Source: RefSeq, a predicted model, not a curated record